RNAcentral lists this small RNA (28 nucleotides) under Bombyx mori (domestic silkworm). RNAcentral describes it as "ovarian small RNA-3939". The record is from RNAcentral. Lineage: Eukaryota; Metazoa; Arthropoda; Insecta; Lepidoptera; Bombycidae.
UUACCAGAUCAGACCAGUGGAUAGGUGA